GGGGAGGUUCCCGAGUGGCCAAAGGGGACAGACUGUAAAUCUGUUGGCUCAGCCUUCGCAGGUUCGAAUCCUGCUCUCCCCACCA
Molecule: transfer RNA, 85 nt
Filed under: bacterium
Lineage: Bacteria
Also listed under: 1 other name
Description: tRNA-Tyr
Rfam family: tRNA
About the family: Transfer RNA (tRNA) molecules are approximately 80 nucleotides in length.
Source: RNAcentral